CCAAUAGCGUAUAUUAAAGUUGUUGCAGUUAAAAAGCUCGUAGUUGAAUUUCGGAGUUUGUCGGUUGGUCGGGCUUCACUGUCCGCACUGGCCUGAUGGAUUCCUACCUUCUGAAUAACCAGCAUGCUAUUAAGUUAGUGCGUUGGGGAAGCAGAGCUAUUACCUUGAAAAAAUUAGAGUGCUUAAAGCAGGCUUAUGCUUGAAUAGAUUAGCAUGGAAUAAUAAAAUAGGAGGGCAUGGUUCUAUUUUGUUGGUUUCUAGGAUCACCGUAAUGAUUAAUAGGGAUAGUUGGGGGCAUUAGUAUUCAAUUGUCAGAGGUGAAAUUCUUGGAUUUAUUGAAGACUAACUUCUGCGAAAGCAUUUGCCAAGGAUGUUCUCGUCGAUCAAGAACGAAAGUUAGAGGUUCGAAGGCGAUCAGAUACCGCCCUAGUUCUAACCAUAAACUAUGCCUGCCAGCGAUCCGCCGAAGUUCCUCCGAUGACUCGGCGGGCAGCUUCCG
RNAcentral lists this unclassified non-coding RNA (499 nucleotides) under uncultured Acaulospora. Its description in RNAcentral is "bacterial SSU rRNA". It matches the Rfam family "Eukaryotic small subunit ribosomal RNA", at positions 591 to 1092 of the family's 1831-position model. The record is from RNAcentral. Lineage: Eukaryota; Fungi; Glomeromycota; Glomeromycetes; Diversisporales; Acaulosporaceae.